CCUACGGGAGGCAGCAGUGGGGAAUCUUCCGCAAUGGGCGAAAGCCUGACGGAGCAACGCCGCGUGAUCGAAUGAAGGCCUUCGGGUUGUACAGAUCUGUUGACAGGGACGAAUAAGCAAUGCGAAUAGUUUUGUGUAUGACGGUACCUGUUUAGAAAGCUCCGGCUAACUACGUUCCAGUAGCCGCGGUAAUACGUAGGGAGCAAGCGUUGUCCGGAAUUAUUGGGCGUAAAGGGCGCGUAGGUGGGUGCUUAAGUCAGGUGUGAAAAUUUCCGGCUCAACCGGGAGACUGCACUUGAAACUGGGUGUCUUGAGGGCAGGAGAGGAAAGUGGAAUUCGUAGUGUAGCGGUGAAAUGCGUAGAUAUGAGGAGGAACACCAGUGGCGAAGGCGACUUUCUGGACUGCACCUGACGCUGAGGCGCGAAAGCGUGGGUAGCGAACGGGAUUAGAUACCCUGGUAGUC
This 464-nucleotide ribosomal RNA is filed under the name uncultured bacterium. RNAcentral describes it as "partial 16S ribosomal RNA". It matches the Rfam family "Bacterial small subunit ribosomal RNA", at positions 338 to 795 of the family's 1533-position model. The record is from RNAcentral.